AGGGUGACUAGUGACAGAGUGAGGAAGGGGGUGACACAGUGACAGAGUGAGGGAGGGGGUGACUAGUGACAGAGUGAAGGAGGUGGUGACUGUCACUAGUCACCCCCUUCCCUCCCUCACUCUGUCACUAGUCACCCCUCCCUCUCUCUGUCACUAGUCACCCCUUCCUCACUUUGUCACUAGUCACCCCU
Molecule: non-coding RNA, 191 nt
Organism: Pelobates cultripes (western spadefoot toad)
Lineage: Eukaryota; Metazoa; Chordata; Amphibia; Anura; Pelobatidae
Source: the annotation of a GenBank genome assembly